UUUCGGUGUGUAAACUCCUUUUAUAUGGAAAGAUUAAUGACGGUACCAUAUGAAUAAGGCACCGGCUAACUCCGUGCCCAGCAGCCGCGGUAAUACGGAGGGUGCAAGCGUUACUCGGAAUCACUGGGCGUAAAGCGCAUGCAGGCGGUUUAAUAAGUUGGAAGUGAAAGCCUAUGGCUCAACCAUAGAACUGCUUCCAAAACUGUUAGACUAGAGUCUGGGAGGGGAAGAUGGAAUUAGUAGUGUAGGGGUAAAAUCCGUAGAGAUUACUAGGAAUACCAAAAGCGAAGGCGAUCUUCUGGAACAGUACUGACGCUGAGAUGCGAAAGCGUGGGGAGCAAACAGGAUUAGAUACCCUGGUAGUCCACGCAGUAAACGAUGAAUGUUAGUCGUUGGUGUCCUAGAGACAUCAGUGAUGCAGUUAACACAUUAAACAUUCCGCCUGGGGAGUACGGUCGCAAGAUUAAAACUCAAAGGAAUAGACGGGGACCCGCACAAGUGGUGGAGCAUGUGGUUUAAUUCGAAGAUACGCGAAGAACCUUACCUAGCCUUGACAUAUUUUAGAACUCAGCAGAGAUGUAGAGGUACCUUCGGGAGCUAAUAUACAGGUGCUGCACGGCUGUCGUCAGCUCGUGUCGUGAGAUGUUGGGUUAAGUCCCGCAACGAGCGCAACCCUCGUCACUAGUUACUAACGAUUCGGUCGAGGACUCUAGUGAGACUGCCUUCGUAAGGAGGAGGAAGGUGAGGACGACGUCAAGUCAUCAUGGCCCUUACGGCUAGGGCAACACACGUGCUACAAUGGUUAGGACAAUGAGAGGCGAUACCGCGAGGUGGAGCAAAUCUAUAAACCUAAUCUCAGUUCGGAUUGUAGUCUGCAACUCGACUACAUGAAGCUGGAAUCACUAGUAAUCGUAGAUCAGCUAUGCUACGGUGAAUACGUUCCCGGGUCUUGUACUCACCGCCCGUCACACCAUGGGAGUUGAUUUCACCCGAAGCGGGGAAGCUAAACUGGCUACCCUCCAUGGUGGAAUUAGCGACUGGGGUGAAGUCGUAACAAGGUAAC
Molecule: ribosomal RNA, 1063 nt
Filed under: uncultured Campylobacterota bacterium
Lineage: Bacteria; Pseudomonadati; Campylobacterota
Description: bacterial SSU rRNA
Rfam family: Bacterial small subunit ribosomal RNA
Source: RNAcentral